AUUGAACACUGGCGGCAUGCUUUACACAUGCAAGUCGAACGGUAACAGGUUAAGCUGACGAGUGGCGGACGGGUGAGUAAUGCAUCGGAACGUGCCCGAUCGUGGGGGAUAACGCAGCGAAAGCUGCGCUAAUACCGCAUACGAUCUGAGGAUGAAAGCGGGGGACCGUAAGGCCUCGCGCGAUCGGAGCGGCCGAUGUCAGAUUAGGUAGUUGGUGGGGUAAAGGCUCACCAAGCCAACGAUCUGUAGCUGGUCUGAGAGGACGACCAGCCAUACUGGGACUGAGACACGGCCCAGACUCCUACGGGAGGCAGCAGUGGGGAAUUUUGGACAAUGGGCGAAAGCCUGAUCCAGCAAUGCCGCGUGUAGGAAGAAGGCCUUCGGGUUGUAAACUGCUUUUGUACGGAGCGAAAAGGCCCUCUCUAAUACAGUGGGCUCAUGACGGUACCGUAAGAAUAAGCACCGGCUAACUACGUGCCAGCCGCCGCAGUAA
Molecule: ribosomal RNA, 493 nt
Filed under: uncultured bacterium
Lineage: Bacteria
Description: partial 16S ribosomal RNA
Rfam family: Bacterial small subunit ribosomal RNA
Source: RNAcentral